AUAUAUUUUAUUUUAGUAUUUAAUUUUUCUUAUUUUUUUUAUUUACAUAUAAUUUUUUUAUUUAAUAUUUUAUUUAGUAGUAAUUAUAUUUAUUUAUUUAAAUAGUUUUAGAUUUAGAAAUAAAAGUUAAAAUUAACUCAUUUUGUGCCAGCAGUUGCGGUUAUACAAUUAAUUUAAAGAAAAUUUUAUGAAUUAAUAUUUACAUAAUUUAAUGAAGUAAAAAAUUUAAAAUUAGGGGGUAAAAUUUUAAUUUUUUAUAUUUAUUUUUUUUGUAGUUAAUAUGAAAUUAUUUUCAAGAAACCAGGAUUAGAUACCCUGUUAUUAUAAUGUAAAGUAAUUUUGAAGUAGUAUUUGUUAUGGUCUUUAAACUUAAGAGAUUUGGCAGUAUUUUAUCUUUUUAGAGGAACCUGUUAAUUAAUUUGAUAAUCCACGACUUAAAGUUACUUUUAUUUUAAAUAACUUGUAUACCGUUGUCACGAAUAUAUUUAAAAAUUAAUUUUCUUUGUUUUUAUAAAAUUUAUGUUAAAUCAAGGUGCAGUUUAUAAAAGUUUACAAUGGGUUACUUUUUAUCUUAUGAAUGAAUUUAUAUGAUUUUUUUUAUUUAAGAAAUUGGAUUUAAUAGUAAUUCUAUUAAAGAAAUUUAAUGAAUUUAGAUUCUAAAAUAUGUACACAUUGCCCGUCGCUCUUAUUUUAAAAUAAGAUAAGUCGUAACAUAGUAGAUGUACCGGAAGGUGCUUCUAGAAAGAAG
RNAcentral lists this non-coding RNA (748 nucleotides) under Allocarsidara bakeri. Lineage: Eukaryota; Metazoa; Arthropoda; Insecta; Hemiptera; Carsidaridae. The record is from RNAcentral.